RNAcentral lists this long non-coding RNA (312 nucleotides) under Anolis carolinensis (green anole). RNAcentral describes it as "lncRNA (ENSACAG00000041570.1)". The record is from RNAcentral. Lineage: Eukaryota; Metazoa; Chordata; Lepidosauria; Squamata; Anolidae.
AUGAAUGCCUUGAAAACGAUAGGUGAUUUAAGAGCUGAGAAAUAUAAGGAAGUGGAAAACCGUAUUAAGCAACAUAUGGUUAUGAUGAAAGAAAGAAGGAAGAAGUUAACAGGGGUACCCCAGGAAGAGAUGGAGAGAGCAAAGCAAAACUUUGAAACUGUUGAAAAGAUAGAAGCGGAGAUAGCCGGCAUUAAGAGGGACCUUAACAAGGAGUAUCGUUUCACUGCCUUUACAGGGGAGCUGCCACCUCCAUCAGAAAGUACCCAAUCAGCUUCCAAACCUCAAAAUAUAUUUUCUAACAUGACAUUUUAA